This 334-nucleotide unclassified non-coding RNA is filed under the name soil metagenome. RNAcentral describes it as "partial contains 5.8S ribosomal RNA, internal transcribed spacer 2, and large subunit ribosomal RNA". The stretch from base 1 to 120 matches the Rfam family "5.8S ribosomal RNA", at positions 35 to 154 of the family's 154-position model. The record is from RNAcentral.
GAUGAAGAACGCAGCGAAAUGCGAUAAGUAAUGUGAAUUGCAGAAUUCAGUGAAUCAUCGAAUCUUUGAACGCACAUUGCGCCCGCCAGUAUUCUGGCGAGCAUGCCUGUUCGAGCGUCAUUUCAACCAUCAAGCCCCAGGCUUGUGUUGGAGCCCUGCGGCUGCCGCAGCCUCCCAAAACCAGUGGCGGGCUCGCUAUCACACCGAGUGCAGUAGUUUACUCUUCGCUCAGGGCGUGUGGCGGGUGCUAGCCGUGAAACCCCCAACUUCUCAAGGUUAACCUCGGAUCAGGUAGGAAUACCCGCUGAACUUAAGCAUAUCAAUAAGCGGAGGA